UUGAAUAAACUUGGUUGGGUUGCUGCUGGCUCUUAGGAGCAUGUGCACACUCUAUCAUUUUUUAACCACCUGUGCACAUAUUGUAGGCCUGAAUAAACUUUUUUCGAGGAAACUCGGCAUGAGAACUGCUCAGCUGUUCUUGCAUUUCAGGUCUAUGUCUUUAAACAUAUACCCCAUCACAAGUAAUAGAAUGUUAAUCAUAGGCCUUCUGUGCCUUUUGAACCUAAUACAACUUUCAACAACGGAUCUCUUGGCUCUCGCAUCGAU
This 267-nucleotide unclassified non-coding RNA is filed under the name Entoloma nigrobrunneum. RNAcentral's name for it is "sequence contains ITS1 and 5.8S rRNA gene". Lineage: Eukaryota; Fungi; Basidiomycota; Agaricomycetes; Agaricales; Entolomataceae. The record is from RNAcentral.